UGUCAAAUGUGCUAAUCAUGGCCCUGCAUCAGAAAGCAUUCGUGCAGAAGGCAAGAACAGUGGCUGGCACAUGGCUAGCCGUUGCAUAAUGCUGCUACCUGUAACUCACGGGUUCCCAUUGUGCAACUGCACAAUGCCGGGAAUUGAGUUAGGCUGUUUGGCAUCAAGAGGCAAAGACUGACGUGGCUUGAGCACGUCCCCAAGGCUCAGAGGGUGGAAAAGUGAUCACCUAUCAAAACCAGCGGAGAGGUGUACCUUUACAGAGGAGAUUAAGUCCCCAGGGCUCUAUCUCCAUGAGAGGAAAAUGUCCACAUCGGGUGAGUUUGUUAUGCUGAGAGUCCUCCUCUGGCCUUCUGCUGCAGCGUGACACAGCAAGAAGGUUGUCCCCAGUAGACGUCCCAGUCUUCAGGAUGGUGAGCGGGAUUCUGGGACAGCAGCACAGGAUGGACCAUGAUAACACAAUGCAGAACCCACCAACUUUUUCUUAAGUAAACAAGUUGUUGUAAAGAUUGAUUGACAAAGCCAAAUCCGGAGAUUAUAGUUCUUCAGAAAUGGGCUCUGCAUUGUGCUUUCAAAUGGGAAUAACAUGAGAAAAUGGGCAUUGAAACCAGAAAUAGCUACUUUUUAAAAAAGCAGCACAAAUUGGGAGGUUAUUAGACUGGAAAGGCUCUGGAACUUAAAUCCCUACAAAACAAAACAAAACAAAACAAAACAAAUGCCAAGCAAAGCCCAGGGUAAACUCUGAGACUAGAAACCAACUAGAACUGACCCUAGGCAGGAGCUUUCUACUCUAGCCAAUAAAAAUUCAUUUUGCAUGUGCAACCAACAAAUAACUUGGAUGCCCAUCAACAAAUAAAAUGGAUAAGAUAUGUUGUGUAGACAAAGAAUCCAUUUUGCUUCUCUUGUUUCUACAACUACAAACUACAUUUUACAAGUUUACCCUCUCACAAUCCUGGUCUCAUAAAUCAAUAAAUUAAAAAAAUUAAAGUUUAAAUGUGCUGAAGUUUUCCUUUAUCAAUCCAAAAAUCAGAUAUCCAAAUUCCAGGGUUCAACAGAGAUUCAGUUUCAGCCAGCAGUGAACACCCGUUUGUGGGGUUCUCUCUGCUGGUGUGUCUGAGGCCUGAGGACAGGUUCUCACUGCACUCCGGUAGAGGCCCCUGGUAUAGCUUUAGUAAAAGGCAGAUGCAAACAUGAUUAAAAGCUUCUAAACCACAAGGUACUGGACUUUGAUGAAGACCCUGCUUCAGUCCUUGUCCGUGUGCACUAGGCCAGUGAUAUAAUCUUUUUAAAGUUUCCUCAUCUAUUCAGGGCUUCGAACCAUGCAAUUGCUAAGGGCCUUUAGAUCCAAUGGGAUGGUGUCCAGCCUCUCCCUGCACUGAAUGCCUUUCCAUUUUGGGGAUGGCGUCCUGCCUCUCUCUGCACUGAAGGCCAUUCCUCCUCCAGUAGCUGCUACUCACAGUUGUCAGGAGAGAGCUUGUUUACCAUCAUCUGGGCUGUAGGUUCCAGUACACCUGAACCAGACCUCUUUCCAGCUUACAGUUUACAGGAGUCCUGGGAGGGGUGGCAUAGGGAAGAGGCCAGACUAUAUGCCCUAGCAAAGUGGUCUCCAGAGCUCAUUGAUCGUCUCCUUUCUCUCUCCUUCCCACCUUAUCGUUCCUUCCUUCCACAAACACUGAACGAACAGCUCCUCCACCUGUGGGUGAAGGCCCAGGGCUGGAUAAUAAUGCUGAUGGGUUCUUACAAUAUGCCCAGCCCCGCGCUAAAUACUGUGUUUCUUUUGAUGCAAGGAUUUAGAAGGCACAAUGGUUCCUAUUGUAUAGGAAAUGUUAGAAAGCCUGCCCAUGGCUUACAGUGGGAUUAUAACAUCUGAGUUCCUGCUCUUAAGGAGUCGAUACUAGAAAAGCUCUGGGGAGACCUUCCGCAAGAGCUGCGUUCGGCCAGAGACGGGAGCCACGAUCCAGAGUGUGCCUGAUGGGCGAAGUGGGGAGGAUGCGCCAGGGAUAGGGUCAGGGCGGUAUUAUGUUCCCAUUUCCUCGUACUGUAAACCUUCUCUGCUGGAAUUUGAAGGGAGGCUUCGAAGGCCCAGGAAACUUAAGAGAAGCUUAGGAAGUUCCCAAAGUUACAAGACUCAUGAGGCCACUCCCCACAGUAAUUGCUAAGGUCAGAGGAGAGUCUGGAAUGAUGCUUGUUCAGUUUCUUAGGGGAAAUGUUGCAACUUUUGUGACCCAGAUUAGAAAGGACAAGCAAUAGGGGCCACGGGGAAGAAAGGGAGCCCUCAGGCUGGUGUCUGGCUGAAGCCUCUCGCCAGCAGGGGAGCAAGAAUUUCAACAUAAUUAAUACUUACUGACCCAGAGAAUAUUCCUUUCAUAUCUUGAGGUUUCCUGUCAAAAUAACAAUGCACCGGAGGUUGGUUGGCCUACUCUGGAAGGUUAACGUUAUUUACAGUAAUAACUUCUCUCCUUCCUUCAGCUAUCACCCAGACUUUUAUUUUGUCAGUUGUCAUCCUGUCCAGUGUCCCCCAGGAACUGCCCCUUGACCUCACGGUGCCUCUUUAUCACCCCGUGAAGACAGUAGCCUCUCUGUCAACAGCCGACAGCCGUAUGUAAGACUGUUGCUAAAACAGCGAAGCCCUCGCACUCUGAGAUGACAACAGCUGGGAAGGCAGCAGAGGCAGGGCCUGACUUCAGCCCCGGUUCCCACGGAAGACUCCGGCUCUGGCACGCUUCCGGUGGAAGCUCAGCUCACUUGCUUCUUUGGGGAAUGAAGGAAUGCAGGUGUACGCUGAGACAUCCGUGGAGGUCCAGCGUCUCGGAGCACACAGAGAGUAGGGUCUCUAAGAGGCCUGUGGUUGAAGAUGGUGCUCUGCAAAUAAGUCAAGAAUAAGUAUCAAGAAAUACUCCUUUCUGGGGAUGGAGAGAUGGCUCAGGGGUUAAGGGCACAGGCUGUCUUACAGAGGGCCUGGGUUCAAGUCCCAACACCCACAUGGUGGCUAAUAGCUGUCUGUAACUCCAGUUCAAGGGGAUUUGACACCCUGUCCUGGCUUCCAUGAGCACCGCAUGCACAUGGCACACAGACAUAUGUGCAGACAAAACAUCCAUACAUAUUAAAAAUAGAAAGGAAUUAAAACAGAAAGAAAUGCUCCUGUAGGGCAUUCCAACCCCUGAGUCAGACUAAAGACCUUGUGACUGAGCUGAGAAGAUCCCCAUGAUUCUGCCCUCAGAAGGCAAUGUGCCAGCCUUCAGCCUCUUUGUCAGAGAAAGUAUCAACUAACCCUUCCUACAUUUCCUGGGAAACAGAGAUAGAUGCAUCAUGAUUUAAAGGUGUUUGGUGGUGGGGAGAGAUUGAGGUUCCAUGAAGGAAGCUGCUCAAAAGUCUGAGAAAUUAGUUCUUUCUCAGAACCAGUUUCCUCCUCUUGGGUUUAAGAACAUCUCCAUCCCUCUGAAGGCUGGUGGCAGGAGGCCCUUGGGACACUAGAAAUGUAUGUAUCCAGCCUUCUGACUUCAUACCUGUAAUAUGAUCCACAUUGGUUAGAGAUUGACAACCCCUCAGAGAGUCUAUAGACCACAACUUGCUUUCUUGAAAUGACAUAGCCAAAGUCCUGAGGAAUCAGACAUCUAAGAGUCCAUAUCCAGCCACGGAAUCAGUGAACCCCCAAAUUCCCAACCUUGUGUGCCUCCCAGCCAGUACAUGGUGUUUGUUGUUCUUGGUCAUCAAGAGCCCUGUUGGGUCAAUCCCCGGACAAACACACAAUUAUCCUUUAACUCCAGGGCAAACUUCCCAAGGCUUUGAUCUGAUUCCCUGGAUGCAAGGAUCACUGGCCUCUGGUGGACUCACAUCAGAAGACGAUGAGCUCAGAGGCUGGCUUGUUUUCACCCUUAUCAGUGCCGGUGCUGGCUAAACUGGAGGCUCCCAGCUGGAGGGAUGCUCCUGCUGGGACGGACAGAGCCGGAUUUACAGAUGGGCAGCUUGUUGGAUGGAAUUUAUGACUAGCUGUGUGACUUCAGGUACCGGUGUCUCUCCCGCUGUGAUAUCAGCUUUCUUAUCAGUGAAAAUGUAGAGGCUGGUGCAAUAGCCCAGUGGGUAAAGGUGAUGCUGCCAUGCCUGACCGCCUGAGUUUAGUCUCCAGAAUCUACCACAGAAAGAACUGUCUGCUCCAUACUGCCCUCUGGCCACCACACCCAGUCAUGCGCACAUCCCCUCCAACCCCAGGCAUUCAUGCAUAUCAAACAAAGAAGUAAAAAUGUAAUUUAAGAAAAAAAACAAGUUAAAAAAUGUAGACAAUACUUUCAUAUUUACACAAGACCAUGCAGAGAGCACACGCCUAGUGAAAUAGUGAGAUUUAAGAAGUGAUUGUUUUCUUUUUGGUUCCUCUGCUCAAAAAUAUAUGUGCCUGUGAAUGGAGCUGGGCCUAGAGGGCUUAAAUAAAAUCUACUCUAAACUAUU
Molecule: long non-coding RNA, 4443 nt
Organism: Arvicola amphibius (Eurasian water vole)
Lineage: Eukaryota; Metazoa; Chordata; Mammalia; Rodentia; Cricetidae
Exons: 3
Source: RefSeq, a predicted model, not a curated record